Molecule: ribosomal RNA, 253 nt
Filed under: uncultured bacterium
Lineage: Bacteria
Description: partial 16S ribosomal RNA
Rfam family: Bacterial small subunit ribosomal RNA
Source: RNAcentral
UACGUAGGGUGCAAGCGUUAAUCGGAAUUACUGGGCGUAAAGCGUGCGGAGGCGGCUAUGCAAGACAGAUGUGAAAUCCCCGGGCUCAACCUGGGAACUGCAUUUGUGACUGCAUGGCUAGAGUACGGUAGAGGGGGAUGGAAUUCCGCGUGUAGCAGUGAAAUGCGUAGAUAUGCGGAGGAACACCGAUGGCGAAGGCAAUCCCCUGGACCUGUACUGACGCUCAUGCACGAAAGCGUGGGGAGCAAACAGG